RNAcentral lists this ribosomal RNA (450 nucleotides) under uncultured bacterium. RNAcentral describes it as "partial 16S ribosomal RNA". It matches the Rfam family "Bacterial small subunit ribosomal RNA", at positions 354 to 796 of the family's 1533-position model. The record is from RNAcentral.
GUGAGGAAUUUUGCGCAAUGGCCGCAAGGCUGACGCAGCAACGCCGCGUGAGUGAAGAAGGUUUUCGGAUCGUAAAACUCUGUUGUUAGAGAAGAAUGUUGAUUAGAGUGGAAAAUUAAUCAAGUGACGGUAUCUAACCAGAAAUGGACGGCUAACUACGUGCCAGUAGCCGCGGUAAUACGUAGGUCCCGAGCGUUGUCCGGAUUUAUUGGGCGUAAAGCGAGCGCAGGUGGUUUAAUAAGUCUGAUGUAAAAGGCAGUGGCUCAACCAUUGUGUGCAUUGGAAACUGUUAGACUUGAGUGCAGUAGCGGAGAGUGGAAUUCCAUGUGUAGCGGUGAAAUGCGUAGAUAUAUGGAGGAACACCGGUGGCGAAAGCGGCUCUCUGGACUGUCACUGACACUGAGGCUCGAAAGCGUGGGUAGCAAACAGGAUUAGAAACCCCGGUAGUCC